CCUACGGGCGGCUGCAGUGGGGAAUCUUGCGCAAUGGGCGAAAGCCUGACGCAGCGACGCCGCGUGGGUGACGAAGGCCUUCGGGUUGUAAAGCCCUGUGGGGUAGAACGAACUGGCAUCGGGCUAAUAUCCCGGUGUCUUGACGGUACUGCCUUAGCAAGCAUCGGCUAACUCUGUGCCAGCAGCCGCGGUAAGACAGAGGAUGCGAACGUUGCUCGGAUUUACUGGGCGUAAAGCGCGUGUAGGCGGUCUCGUUAGUCGGGUGUGAAAGCCCCGGGCUCAACCCGGGAAGUGCACCCGAUACUGCGAGACUGGGGUACUGAAGAGGAGAGCGGAAUUCCCGGUGUAGAGGUGAAAUUCGUAGAUAUCGGGAGGAACACCAGUGGCGAAGGCGGCUCUCUGGGCAGAUACCGACGCUGAGACGCGAAAGCGUGGGGAGCAAACAGGAUUAGAUACCCCUGUAGUC
This 466-nucleotide ribosomal RNA is filed under the name uncultured Myxococcales bacterium. RNAcentral's name for it is "bacterial SSU rRNA". It matches the Rfam family "Bacterial small subunit ribosomal RNA", at positions 338 to 795 of the family's 1533-position model. The record is from RNAcentral. Lineage: Bacteria; Pseudomonadati; Myxococcota; Myxococcia; Myxococcales.